UACGUAGGGGGCAAGCGUUGUCCGGAUUUAUUGGGCGUAAAGAGCGUGUAGGCGGCCAGGUAGGUCCGCUGUGAAAACUCGAGGCUCAACCUCGAGAUGUCGGCGGAAACCAUCUGGCUAGAGCCCGGAAGAGGAGAGUGGAAUUCCUGGUGUAGCGGUGAAAUGCGCAGAUAUCAGGAAGAACACCCGUGGCGAAGGCGGCUCUCUGGGACGGUACUGACGCUGAGACGCGAAAGCGUGGGGAGCGAACAGG
RNAcentral lists this ribosomal RNA (253 nucleotides) under uncultured bacterium. RNAcentral describes it as "partial 16S ribosomal RNA". It matches the Rfam family "Bacterial small subunit ribosomal RNA", at positions 524 to 776 of the family's 1533-position model. The record is from RNAcentral.